CUCGGUAUCGCUGGCGCUUCGUUUGCGGCAGCAUUGCCGCUCGCGAGUCAGUGGUAUCCGAAGGAGCAUC
This 70-nucleotide small nucleolar RNA is filed under the name Paenibacillus hunanensis. RNAcentral's name for it is "Small nucleolar RNA SNORA17". The record is from RNAcentral. Lineage: Bacteria; Bacillati; Bacillota; Bacilli; Caryophanales; Paenibacillaceae.